This 1271-nucleotide long non-coding RNA is filed under the name Homo sapiens (human). RNAcentral's name for it is "HSALNT0270284". Lineage: Eukaryota; Metazoa; Chordata; Mammalia; Primates; Hominidae. The record is from RNAcentral.
ACAGUGACCUCCCAGGCCUCACCAGUGGCAGUGACCUCCCAGGCCUCUCCAGGCCAGGCCACAGCUGGGGAAGGACAGUCUGUCCCCCCGCAGGUUGGACGGUUGCUGCCUCUACCACCUGAAGGGCUGACCUUGGGAAUCCACGUCUCUAUGGAAGGGCGGAAGCCAUGAGGACCAGAGCCUUAAUAUAGCCGCCAGGCGCCCUGCACUCUCCUUCCCACCAGCCCUCCCUGCGCUCUGCCCAGCCAGCCAUAAACAACCAGACGAGCCGGAGGUUGGCAGGCAAAGUGGCCCGGCCCCUUAUCAGAGCGACAGGACUAAAAGGAAAGUCACUUUACCUGCACUGCCUGGACCUGGGCAUACUGACUUCCCAUCACCUUUUGAACUAAAGCAGAUGCCCAGGCAGCCUUCAGGAGGAGGGCGCCGCACCUGGAAAUCCCCAAAGACCUUGCAGCGGCCCCUCCAGCCUGCAGAAAGUGUCCACCAAGACCCUCGGUGCUCGGUCCUGGGCACCCUGGGGGAGGGAGAAGGCCCUGGUGAAGCCCCAAAACAGUAUGGGCAGCAUAGAAAAAGAAGAGAGACGCAGAGCCCCGUCAGCUGGGGCUUCCUGACCCAGAACCAUUUAUAGAGCCCUCCCGCUUCAAGCCCUUAAUUUAUGGCUUCAUUCAGAGCAGAGCAGCAAGGCUGAAAGCACCCCAGGCCCUGAGCCUGCAGCCCUCACUCCUCAAAGCAGGCCCGGAGGCUGGCACGUCCUCACUCUCCCACCAUUCCUGGACCUGGCUGCGGCCAACCAACGGGGUGCUCCUUGACACCCGUAGGUGUGUCUUGGCCAAACACGGACACUGGAUCCCGAGAGCCGCCCUGUACAGGCAUAAACCCGACCGGGCAUCUGAGUCCUGGGGACACACCACAUCUCCACUGUGCUGGGACCGCAGCUUCCAGGGGUGGGCUCAGGGAGAGGGUCAGUCUCUCCUUUGCUGUUGCAAAAGACAGCUCAUGGCUAAGUGACCAUGAUGCCUCUAAGGUUUGUCUGAAACAUGCAACGUGCUCAUUAAGGAGGGAACAUGGGAGGAUCACUCGAGCCCAGGAGUUUGAGACCAGCCCGGGCAGCAUAAUGAGAGCCCAUCUCUACAAAAAAGUAUAAAUAAAUAAAUAAAUAAUCCAGGUGUGGUGGCGUCCGCCUGUGGUCCCAGCUGCUCAGGAGUCUGAGGUGGGAGGAUCACUGGAGCCCAGGAGUUUGAGACCAGCCCGGGCAGCAUAAUGAGAGCCCA